UGCCUCCUGGUGCUCACCACAGUCUGUGUUCUUACACUGACUGUACAGAAAAAGGAGAAGUAAAGCUACCCCACAUAUACCUCAACCCAGGUCCUGUGCCUGGUCUGUACUAUGAAUGGGAAGACAUGG
This 129-nucleotide small nucleolar RNA is filed under the name Castor canadensis (American beaver). Its description in RNAcentral is "Small nucleolar RNA SNORA51 (ENSCCNG00000008217.1)". It matches the Rfam family "Small nucleolar RNA SNORA51". From Rfam's summary of the family: ACA51 is a member of the H/ACA class of snoRNA that guide the sites of modification of uridines to pseudouridines. The record is from Rfam by way of RNAcentral. Lineage: Eukaryota; Metazoa; Chordata; Mammalia; Rodentia; Castoridae.